This 450-nucleotide ribosomal RNA is filed under the name uncultured bacterium. Its description in RNAcentral is "partial 16S ribosomal RNA". It matches the Rfam family "Bacterial small subunit ribosomal RNA", at positions 354 to 796 of the family's 1533-position model. The record is from RNAcentral.
GUGGGGAAUAUUGGACAAUGGGCGAAAGCCUGAUCCAGCCAUGCCGCGUGUGUGAAGAAGGUCUUCGGAUUGUAAAGCACUUUAAGUUGGGAGGAAGUGCAGUAAGUUAAUACCUUGCUGUUUUGACGUUACCGACAGAAUAAGCACCGGCUAACUUCGUGCCAGCAGCCGCGGUAAUACGAAGGGUGCAAGCGUUAAUCGGAAUUACUGGGCGUAAAGCGCGCGUAGGUGGUUUUGUAAGUUGGAGGUGAAAUCCCCGGGCUCAACCUGGGAACUGCCUCCAAAACUGCAUGACUAGAGUACGGUAGAGGGUAGUGGAAUUUCCUGUGUAGCGGUGAAAUGCGUAGAUAUAGGAAGGAACACCAGUGGCGAAGGCGACUACCUGGACUGAUACUGACACUGAGGUGCGAAAGCGUGGGGAGCAAACAGGAUUAGAAACCCGUGUAGUCC